Long non-coding RNA from Podarcis raffonei (Aeolian wall lizard), 2979 nucleotides. RefSeq lists it as uncharacterized. NCBI's taxonomy places the organism in Eukaryota, Metazoa, Chordata, Lepidosauria, Squamata, Lacertidae. The transcript is spliced from 2 exons. The record is from RefSeq and is a predicted model, not a curated record.
UGCUAGUGCUGCAUCAACCUUAGUCCUAAUCUCCAGACUGGUGAGAAGGGAUGUGAUGCUGAAGGCAUGUUUUUGCCAUUCCCAAGUACCUUGUCUUUUUACAUGUAGGACUGAAUGGCAAUCCCACUGUUAUAUAAAGAACGUAAAUUGGUGUUAACUGAAGGUACACCAGUGAAAGUAAGCCUGCACCUGGUGACCUGAGUUUUUCUGGAUGUGGCAGGUUUUGCUUCCUGCAAGUAAUCUGGCUGAUUUACUUAGCUUUUUGGAACAGAGCAGGAACCACUGAUAACUACCCAAGCUUCUACCUGAAUUACAGUUCUGCCCCUUCGUAAGCCCUGCAUUCUUCCCUGAUCAUGCUAAAGGCCACAAAGCAGUGAAACCCAGAGCUAACUUUUAAGUACUGGUAAAUAUUUGCACAGACUGCCAGAAGGGUUGUCAGUGAAAAGAGGACCAGAACAUAAUGGUGACGAAGAGAUGACCGAGGAUAUGUACACUUUAUUCUGAUGAUUCUUUUUCUCUCUUAUGAAUCAGUUGUAAGAAACUUUCUGGAGGAAUACCUUCCUUGACACUAAUCUGGAGAGUGAUGCUUAUAAUACAAAAGGAGUGAUGAAGUAUGGAAAAAUAAGAGUGAUACAUUCCUACUGAAAUGACACUAGCAAUUGUUUUAUAACCCGAAGCAUACUAAAGGCAUCCUUCCUGUGGAGACUCUUGUGGUCAGAGCCAAGGAAAUGAAGAACCUCUACAUUUGCUUACUCUUGUAGAGUUAACAGGCACAUGCUAAGAAGCGUGCUGAGAAGCCAUAAGUCAUUAGACUGCAGUAUACUUAAAUGUUAAUCCAGCCAUGACAGUGCACAUGCAGAGCUUUGCUGAGGCCAGGAGUUUCCCUCUUCUCUACCUACAAGUGCAGAAUUGUUUGGUCUGUGAAGGUUUAUUAGAAGAAAACAGGAACCCGCCCCCUGCCUAUAACAGGCUUUGGAAUGUUCACUACUGUAUGUGUGAAACUGGUCUGAUUAGACAAGUAAUCUUCCAUUAGUCUUUGUGCCCCUUGACAAGCUCUUGGGAUAGGAGCUGAAAAAACCGACACAAGAUCUGUGUGGCCCUUAUUAUGAUGUGUGAGAUAUUAAACCAUGUAGCACAUUCAGCAGGGCACAUGUGCAGAAUGGACAGCCAGUCCCCUCAGUCACCACUUCCACAGCCACAAGGGCUGAAGCAGGAAAUGGUAGAUUAAAAAGCAAAUCUAUCCCAUGAUAAUUCAGUUACAGCACAAAUAAAACAGCUGAUCCCAGUGUUACCACCCUAACUCAAAGCUCCAAAAGCAAACCUAAAGCUGUUCAGAACUAUCUUCCUUGAGUGACCACGGGAUGGGAAUUCUAUCAUUGUGGUUCAACCCUUGCUGUGAAUUGAUAGGCAACAGGGCUCUCUUGGUUGUUCUUAAACAAUAACAGCAAAACACAGGGAAGUUAUAUUGGAAGGGCACAAUAUCGUAUUCAUUCACUCAGUCAUUCACACCCAAUAAUAUUAAGGAUCUAUGCUAUGGAUAACAUUCUGUAAAAUGGAAUAUAGGUAACUUGAUGUUUUAAAACCAGAGCAUUGAGAAAGCUACAUAAGGAACUUGGAAUCAUAGAAGAAGAAUAAAAACACCCUGGGUUUCUUGGAAGCGAUUAGGAAGAGGCCUUCUAAAGUUGUAUUUUAUAACAUUAAGGCAUAGAAAUUAAUCUUCAAAAGAUUCCAUAAGAUUAUCUGCCAAGAUUAUCAUCUUGGUUUAUCAGUGAUAUGCAAAACCUGUAAUAUAUGCCCACCCACUUAUAACUAAUUUGAAAUUUCCGAGCUAUACACCAAAUGCAUCCCAGAAGAAUGGGAUCACCAUUGGAGGGCCGGGCUCCCUGCUAUAGUUGGCACCUGAAUGUGAAAAAAAUCAGUUGCCCAAGCUUCCAGAAUUCACAGUGGAGCAGAAUAAGAGAAAAUCCUUUCAGAAUAUGUAUUUUAAAGGUAGGUAGAGGGAAAGCCUAACCUGAAACUAUAGGUUAUCAGUUUUUUUGCAUUCACAAACAACCUAGUAUGGUCAAAACACCUUGGGUUGUAUCUAAUUGAGUGCUGCUCCGAGCAGACCCACUGAAAUUAAUGGACAUAAAUUAGUGAUGUUUAUUAAUUUUGAUGGUUUUCCUUUGAAUAUACAGUAACUAAUGUUGGAUACAACCCUUUAUUCACUCAACCAAUUCUUGGUCAAAUGUGAUGCAAAGUUAUUAGGCUACUGCAAAAGAGAGGACUUUCCCCCUUUUGGGGUGGGGAGCUUUAGAAGAAUGCUGCAUACUUCUUUGGUUUGGUUUGGUUUAGUUUAGUCACUCAAGUGGUACUGUUCCCCUCCUGCCACUCCCAUUCUUUAAAUCUCUGAAAAGAUUGGAGGAAUAACCACCUCCAAGACUAACCAAUCUGGUAAUCUGUUGCUUGUCUUUGAGAGGCGCAUGGAGGGGACUAAGAUCACACAUGCAUUUGCCAGUGUUGACAGACGAGCAAGCCGCUUCCCCAACCUAGUAUGUGAUGCCAGAGUGCUGCAUUAGUGCCAGGGGAAGGCUAAGCCUCCUCUGCCCAAAUGAGGUGGAGGAAGCACUAGUCUUGAUACCCAGAUAGGGACUUCAGUUUGGAAAUUGUGAGCUUGGGAGCAGGGCAACCCUAAGCUCUGAGUAGAAGCCCUUGCUUAUAGUAGCAGCUUAGGCAGGCAGUGGGACAGAGGCACCCUCUAGAAGGAGGGAAUCCUUGUCUUGAGGGGCUUUCCUAUGAAGUAGUGACUUGCUUAUCACCUGCCCACAUCACCCCAGUUAUGUUUCAUCCUCAGGUGCAAAGCCAUGCUGAUGUGGAGACCAGUAUAUUGAAAGGCAGUCCUGGUGGUUUUAAGAAAACUCCAAGCAGGGGAAAUAAGAACCCCUUCACUUGAAAAUCUGGAUCAUUUUUACAGUAUGUUGCAUGCUUAAGAGAUCAUUU